This is an unclassified non-coding RNA of Macaca fascicularis (crab-eating macaque), 148 nucleotides long. It matches the Rfam family "Metazoan signal recognition particle RNA". From Rfam's summary of the family: The signal recognition particle (SRP) is a universally conserved ribonucleoprotein. The record is from Ensembl. NCBI's taxonomy places the organism in Eukaryota, Metazoa, Chordata, Mammalia, Primates, Cercopithecidae.
GCCGGGUGUGGUGGCGCACGCCUGUAGUCCCAGCUACUCGGGAGGCUGAGGCAGGAGAAUCGCUUGAACCCGGGAGGCGGAGGUUACAGUGAGCCGAGAUCGUGCCACUGCACUCCCGCCUGGGCAACAGAGUAAGACUCCGUCUCAA